RNAcentral lists this long non-coding RNA (1276 nucleotides) under Setaria italica (foxtail millet). RNAcentral describes it as "long non-coding RNA (SITA_LNC004438)". The record is from RNAcentral. Lineage: Eukaryota; Viridiplantae; Streptophyta; Magnoliopsida; Poales; Poaceae.
AGGGUGGCCUCCUGAUGGUAUGUUCUGGCCAGACCAAUGGUUACAGGUUUACAGCAUAUUGUUCUAGAUGCGGGUAGUGCACAUUAGUGUGGGCUGUGGUCUGCUCCGGACGGCUGGAGACAUGCCCCGAAGUAAGGCAGGCAUCUCUGUGGCAACUAAGGUGAUCUCUUUUGCUCUCGCUCUCCCGCCCUAUCUCCCUCCCUCUCCCUCUCUCUGUGUGUGUUUUGACACGAAGGUGGUCUCUCUUGGUACUACUACCUGUUGGUUUUUUGCCAUCCGACUUCAAAUUUGUUUGAGCUGGGCAAUUUACCUGGUAUUUGGUCUUUCUGGGUCCUGGAACCGGGAGGCAACUGCAGUGUGCAGUGUCUGAGCACUGAGCUCAUGCUGUGAUGUCGUCUGUCAGCAGCAGUUCGGCUGCCGCGAAACCUAGGCCUUGUUUAGUUACUAAAGUUUGGAGGUGCUAAAUUACUGUUACAACACUGUAGCACACUGUAGCGUUUCGUUUGUAUUUGUGAAUUAUUAUCCAAACAUUGACUAAUUAGGCUCAAAAGAUUCGUCUCGCAAAAUAUAAUAAAACUGUGCAAUUAGUUUUUAAUUUCAUCUACAUUUAAUACUCCAUGCAUGUACCGCAAGUUUGAUGUGAUGGGAAAUCUUUUUUUUUGCAUAGUGCAAAGUUGGAAGUUGGGAGUGAACUAAACAAGGCUGUAGUAUGCGUGUACGCAGCGAAAAGUUUACUUGCGUUGAAUCUAUCAUUGUCAGCUGCUGCAGCAGCACUGGAUGAGCUUAGGCCUUGGUUCUUUUUUUUUCUCCUUUUUUUUUUCGACACGGCACUGUGUUGAGAAAAUUUGAAGUUAGUAUCUUUGCGCUGGUGGUUCGGAUUGUAGCUCCUGUUUCUUGCAUUGUGUCAGUCUCGUCGAUCCAAGGAGUUGGGGGGCAAGCACCAACUGGGCCCUUAUUGGCGAAUUGGGCCUGUGUGUCACGACGGUACGCACAAAGGCCACGAUCUGUCACUGGUGCUGAAGAAAAAUGUUAUUUUCAUCAUGUAGAUCUUUUGGUUGCAAACCUGCCAAUAAGCAUCCAAAACUAACGUUACACACGAACAAAUAUCUGUUUUCUUGAGAUUUGCUUAUCUUCUUGGCAUUUACUUUUCUGCCAGCCAUACAAAGUUACGGAGUGUCGAUCGCAAUUUUAUACCAGCAUGACGUAUCCCUCGUAAUGAUGAUGGAUUCAAUUUCUCGUAACUAAACAGUGUCUUAACCCAAAAACUGUCAUAUAG